UUUUGUUUUUUUCCACAGCUUUCUUGAACUGCAUCUAAUUACAAUUUCAAUUCACAAAAUGAAUAAUUGAUUCAUAUUGUUGUUGCGGUUCAAUAAGGCUGUGGGAAGAUACAGAUA
This 117-nucleotide microRNA precursor is filed under the name Solanum tuberosum (potato). RNAcentral describes it as "MIR396 microRNA precursor family". It matches the Rfam family "MIR396 microRNA precursor family". Lineage: Eukaryota; Viridiplantae; Streptophyta; Magnoliopsida; Solanales; Solanaceae. The record is from Rfam by way of RNAcentral.